AACGCUGGCGGCAGGCUUAACACAUGCAAGUCGAGCGGGCGUAGCAAUACGUCAGCGGCAGACGGGUGAGUAACGCGUGGGAACGUACCUUUUGGUUCGGAACAACACAGGGAAACUUGUGCUAAUACCGGAUAAGCCCUUACGGGGAAAGAUUUAUCGCCGAAAGAUCGGCCCGCGUCUGAUUAGCUAGUUGGUGGGGUAACGGCCUACCAAGGCGACGAUCAGUAGCUGGUCUGAGAGGAUGAUCAGCCACAUUGGGACUGAGACACGGCCCAAACUCCUACGGGAGGCAGCAGUGGGGAAUAUUGGACAAUGGGGGCAACCCUGAUCCAGCCAUGCCGCGUGAGUGANGAAGGCCCUAGGGUUGNAAAGCUCUUUUGUGCGGGAAGAUAAUGACGGUACCGCAAGAAUAAGCCCCGGNUAACUUCGUGCCAGCAGCCGCGGUAAUACNNANGNNGCUAGCGUUGCUCGGAAUCNCUGG
RNAcentral lists this ribosomal RNA (481 nucleotides) under Bradyrhizobiaceae bacterium N106a. Its description in RNAcentral is "bacterial SSU rRNA". It matches the Rfam family "Bacterial small subunit ribosomal RNA", at positions 32 to 557 of the family's 1533-position model. Lineage: Bacteria; Pseudomonadati; Pseudomonadota; Alphaproteobacteria; Hyphomicrobiales; Nitrobacteraceae. The record is from RNAcentral.